RNAcentral lists this ribosomal RNA (426 nucleotides) under uncultured bacterium. Its description in RNAcentral is "bacterial SSU rRNA". It matches the Rfam family "Bacterial small subunit ribosomal RNA", at positions 356 to 773 of the family's 1533-position model. The record is from RNAcentral.
GGGGAAUCUUGGACAAUGGGCGCAAGCCUGAUCCAGCAAUGCCGCGUGGGUGAAGAAGGCCUUCGGGUUGUAAAGCCCUUUUGUUUGGGAGCAAAUCCUACUGGUUAAUACCUGGUGGGGAUGAGAGUACCAAAAGAAUAAGCACCGGCUAACUACGCGCCAGCAGCCGCGGUAAUACGUAGGGUGCAAGCGUUAAUCGGAAUUACUGGGCGUAAAGCGUGCGCAGGUGGUUUGACAAGACCGACGUGAAAGCCCCCGGGCUCAACCUGGGAACUGCGUUGGUGACUGUCUGACUAGAGUGUGGCAGAGGGGGGUGGAAUUCCGCGUGUAGCAGUGAAAUGCGUAGAGAUGCGGAGGAACACCGAUGGCGAAGGCAGCCCCCUGGGCUAACACUGACACUCAUGCACGAAAGCGUGGGGAGCAAAC